GACGAACGCUGGCGGCGUGCUUAACACAUGCAAGUCGAACGGAAAGGCCCUGCUUUUGUGGGGUGCUCGAGUGGCGAACGGGUGAGUAACACGUGAGUAACCUGCCCUUGACUUUGGGAUAACUUCAGGAAACUGGGGCUAAUACCGGAUAGGAGCUCCUGCUGCAUGGUGGGGGUUGGAAAGUUUCGGCGGUUGGGGAUGGACUCGCGGCUUAUCAGCUUGUUGGUGGGGUAGUGGCUUACCAAGGCUUUGACGGGUAGCCGGCCUGAGAGGGUGACCGGCCACAUUGGGACUGCGAUACGGCCCAGACUCCUACUGGAGGCAGCAGUGGGGAAUAUUGCACAAUGGGCGGAAGCCUGAUGCAGCAACGCCGCGUGCGGGAUGACGGCCUUCGGGUUGUAAACCGCUUUCGCCUGUGACGAAGCGUGAGUGACGGUAAUGGGUAAAGAAGCACCGGCUAACUACGUG
This 468-nucleotide ribosomal RNA is filed under the name uncultured bacterium. RNAcentral describes it as "partial 16S ribosomal RNA". It matches the Rfam family "Bacterial small subunit ribosomal RNA", at positions 28 to 507 of the family's 1533-position model. The record is from RNAcentral.